This 77-nucleotide transfer RNA is filed under the name Priestia megaterium. RNAcentral's name for it is "tRNA-Met". It matches the Rfam family "tRNA". Rfam says of the family: Transfer RNA (tRNA) molecules are approximately 80 nucleotides in length. Their secondary structure includes four short double-helical elements and three loops (D, anti-codon, and T loops). The record is from RNAcentral. Lineage: Bacteria; Bacillati; Bacillota; Bacilli; Caryophanales; Bacillaceae.
CGCGGGGUGGAGCAGUUCGGUAGCUCGUCGGGCUCAUAACCCGAAGGUCGCAGGUUCGAAUCCUGUCCCCGCAACCA